GCAAUAGUAGCUCAGCGCCAGAGCGCCGGUCUUGUAAA
RNAcentral lists this transfer RNA (38 nucleotides) under Abudefduf sexfasciatus (scissortail sergeant). Its description in RNAcentral is "partial tRNA-Thr". The record is from RNAcentral. RNAcentral also lists the same sequence under 4 other names. Lineage: Eukaryota; Metazoa; Chordata; Actinopteri; Pomacentridae.